This 5974-nucleotide long non-coding RNA is filed under the name Nicotiana tabacum (common tobacco). RNAcentral's name for it is "long non-coding RNA (NTAB_LNC014780)". The record is from RNAcentral. Lineage: Eukaryota; Viridiplantae; Streptophyta; Magnoliopsida; Solanales; Solanaceae.
UUUGGACUUCCUUCUGAUUAGAAAAUAAUUGGAAAACAUAUUCUCUUUAAUUUGAAGGACGCACGCCAGUCGCCAUAGGAAAAAAAAUUGAAAGUGAGGCACGCCGUAGCAAAACCUACGUGCUUAAGAAUAUUGUUGCAACAGUCUCCGCCCUGCCACGGUCUCCGACCAUCCCUGGGUAACUUCUCUUUUUACCUAGCAGGUUUCUUGAAAUCGAUUUACAAUUGAUUUUGGGUUGAUGCUGCUCGAAUAUUCUCAAUCGUCGUUGUCAACCUUCUCUUUCUCAUCCGUUUCAAACUUCUCUUUUUGUGUAGGUUUCAAGAUUAUUGCAGAAAUCAUUCUUCUCCUACAAUUUCUUGUCUAUCGGCAAGAAAUUCUGCUUACCAAGUACCAAUUUCUAAUUUUUGAUAUCCAACUAUGGCGUUUUGGGAUUUGUGAAAGUAUAGCUUUUUUGUGUUUGCUAAGUUGUUUGUGAUAUCUGCCUGCUGUUAGAUUGAUAGUCGAUUGAUUGAAUUGAUUCUUCCUCUAUUACUCUAUUGUUGUUUUUGUCUGCUGCUAUUUUUUUUGUUUUCUCUGAUUGAUAGCUGUUUUUAUUGUUUUCUCUGAUUGAUAGUGAUAACUGGUUUAUAUAGUGUAACUAGCAACAGAAAAUAAAUUUCCGUUUGCUUAUAUAUAUAUAUAUAUAUAUAUAUAUUAUGUCUUCAAUGCAAAUCUGCUAUAUUUUAGUGUAUUUGGGAGGGGAAAGAAAAGAUGUUGUGGCUAUGGAGAGGUAUUGUUAUUGAAUCUGUUUCACGUUCCAAAUUGAGGUUCUUAGAAUGGUAUUGUGAUUGAAGCUGGUGGUAAAUUGCAUAUCCCUUUCACUGUUGUCAGGGUAUCUGCAACUUCUAUUUCGGAUGCAGUUCCAACUGCCUUUAUGUAGUAGGUUUAUGAACCACAAUGUAUAGUUGCAAAUCUGAUCCAUAUGCAGUAGGUAACAAUGUAGUUCCUGAGUUACUAGUUGCAGCUCUUCUCAUUGCUAAAUGAACUAGUAGUAGCAAUCUAAUGACAAUGACAUGACCUUACACGCAGAGCAACAAUCUGGAUAACUUAAAGCUUCAAAAAAUGAGGGAGCGCAACUCCCUUUUUCUUUGUCCCUUAGCCUGCUAACCCUCAAUGAAUUGACUAGUUUUAGUAAGUAGGGAAAAUUCUAAACACGGUGAAGCAUGUUCUAUAAACACUUGUGUAUUUGUUGGUUUCUAUUAAUUUUGUGAUGUAUCUAAUUGAGCUGCUAAUGCUACGGAUAUACUUGCCACUUGCGCAUAUUUCUAUUUAAUUUGAUGUAUCACAACUUUUGGAAUAGAAUGAUUUUGUUUAAGUAGGUUGUAAGUUGUAAUGCUAAAACUUAUGAAUAUAACAUCUGAAUACUUAGUUGGUCUCUUUUGAGCCUUGCACUAUUAGAAUGGUUGUUGGUGUGAGAUUGUAGUUAAGAGGCCAUUCACUGUCUGCAAAUGGUGCCAUGAAACAACAACUGAAUAAAUGUAAGAGCAAGAAUACCCCUUGAUAAAAAUUAGAUUCGAUCUAUCAAUGCCUUCUUAGUCAGAUGACUAUGAUAUCUGUAUUAUAUCGAGCAUUAUCAUUCGUUCCCUUUUUUUAUGGUUUUGGGAAAGGAGAGGUAGUGCUAAGGUAGGAGCAGAUAAAAUGUUGUGAACUAAAUAGGUAAUUACAAUUUGGAGCUUCCUUUAGCUUUAAUGGGGUUACAUCAUAAUUGUCUAAUGUGUUAAAAGCACAUUUAGUCUACGAUCUUUGUCUCAUAAUGUAGAUCAAUAUUCGAAUUUUCAAACUAUUUAUGCAUCAUGUAGUGUACGUAGCAUCAAAUGUCCGAGAAGGUCCUCUUAAUUCUUCAGUAGAACUACUUUUGCAUUUUUGCUUAUUGGUAGACCUUGCCUUCACUCAAUUAUCCAAACAAGGUGCCAAGGAUUUGCGUGAAGCAAAAUUCAUUAUGACUUUCUUAUUGGAUUCUGAAAGACCUAUCUUCCUUGUAGAUAGUUGUAUUGAGUUGUUCCUUGGUAAGCAAAUGACAUAAGCUGGCUUCGAGAAUUUGUUUACUUCUUAAGUGACAGAAACAUCAUGUGUGUGUUUGGGUAGCUCGUAUGGUAAAUGUUCACUUGGAGCUAGUAAUAUUUAGUCCCAAGAUCAAUGAUGAUACUCAUUUAGGUGGCCCAAGGUUGUGUCUUUUCAUCAUCUUACCGGUAGUUCAAUCUCUUUCAGGUUGUUAAGUGAUAGAAAGUCUUUAUUAGGUAUUAGUCUUUCUUUAUUUAGCUGGAACAAAUCUACAAUCAUAAAUUAAAUUAAGGACACCACAACCGUAGAUGAUGUAUGUAAGUUUUGCUUUCUUUUGUGUCCAGUGUACAAAAACAAAUGUACUUCAAACAAGGCUAGAAAGACAAACGAUGUUAAGACAAGUUUCGCUUAAGUAUUAUCUAGCACUUGAUAGUCAUUCUUUUUCUGAAGAAAUAAGCUAAUAAACAGGUGGUUCUUAUACCAAGUAGUUCUGCACUCUCAGCAUCUCAUUCUUCAGUCCUGCAUUGUAAAAAACUCAUUAGUAUUUGACAGUUGCGCUAGUGUCAAUUAGAAUUCUUCAUGUUAUUUUCCUAGAUUAUAAUGGAUUGGAGUUUUGCCUAUGAAAUAAAGUUCACUGCAAUAUGUGAAUUCCAUGUUCAUUGAAGAGAAUAACUUUGUGAUUGGUUAGGCCUUUCAGAGUAUUGAUGGUCUCACAUUCAUUAACUUUAUAUCUAUUUAAUGGUUAAAAAAAUCACUAUUGACUAAAUCAGAAAACUAGACUUUGAAUGAGAAAUCAAAAUUACCUCUGAGAGCACAAAAGAUGAUUUCCACAGUUCUGGAGAUCACACAUUUCCUUGAAUCAUUUUUGCAAAAUCUUGAUACAAAAUAAUUUAUGAAAUUAAAAGGAGCGAUACACCCUAUUCUCCAUUCCAGUGUAUUAAGUACCAAGAGAUCCAUUCUCUGAAUCACUCUGCUCUCAAAAAUGUAUUCUUCCGUGGGAUAUUCUGUUAAUGUUGGCACUUUUCAUUCCUCCUUUUUUGCAGCCAAAGAUAAACUUGUUGAUCUAAGCCUCGCAUCUUGGAGUGCUUGGCAUUGAUGACCAAAUUUAGUUCUUUUAGUCGAAUCCUUAGGAAUACAUGCACUAUUGACGACAGGAAGUGUGUAAGCAGGUUACAAAAGUAAGAUUUAUGUCCCAACAUCAUUUAUUUAAUCUAAGCAUGUACUUGAAUUAGAACAACGGACUGCAAAGUGUAUGGAUAAGCUUGGUCACCUUUGUUAUUAGUCACCACUCACCACUCACCACCCACCAAUAAUUUACUCUGCUUAGCCUUACACUUAAAAAUAACCAAGAGAUGCCACAAAUUUAAUGAUGCUCUCAUGUCAACAAGAUAAUACUCAAUCUAAUUUACUCCAAAUUGCGAGCAGAGGAGAGCCAAAAUGGGUAAAUCCUUCAUUAAGUUAUCAGUAGGUUCCAAAGAGUUGAAUUGUUGUAGGACACUUAUCGUUUUGCAAUACUCCGUCUUUUUCAUCAUUUUAACACUAGUUGAAUCUCUUUCAAUUUGUUAAAUGAUAGGAAGUUUCCUUUAUUUAGCUGCAACGAACCUGUAACCACAAAUUAAAUUAAGAGAAAUGACAUACAACCUAAAUGCGGUGAAUAAGUUUUGCUCUCUUUUUUACCCAUUGUACAGAAAAUGUACUAGUGACAAGACUAGAAAGAUAAAUAUUGUUUGUUUUAAUUAGGUAUUGUUUUUGGUAAUCCAUUUGAUCUUUGUAUUAUGUGAAUGACUUGGUUGAGCAAUCACUGUUGUCAGUGGUUAGUGAGUGUGCAAAGUAGAACAUAACAAAUUAAUUAAUAUACACGAACAAUAAACUAGAAAAUAUUUCAAGUGAAAGAACAAAUUAAUAAGAUUAUCAAAAAUGAAACAGAACUAUUAAUUGAUAUAUGAAGAUUUCAUUUAUUUUAAGUCUAAAUGUCACCUAUAACAUUCUCACAUUUUAAGUACCUCCUAUUUUAAGAAUAAUAAGUUUAAUAUGAUCCAUCUAUAGCUUAAUUUAUGCAUUGAUGUAAUAAAUCUCCAACAUCUCCAUAUUUUAGGAAAAACUUACCUGUUGACAUAUAUUUAAUGUUGAAAUAUAUACUUUUUUUGCUUUCUGUUAUUUUUUCAUGAUACUGUUAUUCAAUAGAUUUCAGAGCAUCUCUCAAGUGCUUAACCGUAUAAGUUAUUAUACCUAUUAUUGCAGAAAAUACUUCACUUUCUCACGGUACUACUCAUCUUUAUCCUUUAGCUCACUACUGUUUUAGUUUUUUUACUGUAGAUCAUUAAAAAAUCUUCUUUUAUGAUCUUAGUAUAUCUUUGCCCGAACGUUUUCUUCUUCCUUUAAAGAUUUCAUCUAUUCAUUUGUUAAAUAUUAUUACAUGUCUUUCAAACUUCUUACAUCUCUUUCCAAUUAAACAGGGAGAUUUCUGCUGGAAAGACAUUUCCUGAGGAAAAGGUUUGUUAACUGAGUUAAUUUCUUAAAUAGAAUAAAACAAACCUUCCUUACUUAAAAAAAUGCUUCUUCUACUUCCCACUGUCAGUAGGUCUCUAAUCAAAGCUACUUUAUCUACUAUGUUCAUAUACAUCUGAUUGAAUGUUGUAUAUACCCAUCUCUAAAUGUUCAAAUCUUUUUAACUGAGCAACUUCUUUGCUCCUGAAAGUAUGAUUAAUCUUGUUUGUCAGUCAAAAAUAUAGAUAUCUGAUAUGUAUGAAUACUGAAAGCUACUACGAAAUAGAAAAAACAUCUACAAUAUUAGUUGUAUUAAUAACUGCCUAUUAUUUCAUUCAUAACUAUGAUGUACUGCAAAGUUUGGACCAAAAGCUGAGCAUAUAUGUGUUUUCUGCUGUCCUAAAUCCAGAAUAAGGGUUGAGUAUCAUGAAAUUUAUCAAACAUUCUGAGUGUAUGACUAGAAACAAGCAUGUUAAAUUGAUCGUUCUAAGAAAUGAGUAUUGCUCCCGACCUACUCUUCCCCCACAUCGUCCCCAAAAUCCUCUUGCUCUCUCUUCCUUUUAUUUGCGAGAGUAGUCAUGACUUGUGAUAAGAAAAUACAAGUUUCUGCAGACUGUUGGUCAGUGAAAUGUUUUAACUUUAGUUAGUAAAAGUAGAAUUACUUAAGAUUACUGUAUGUUAUUAUAUCUUUGUUUGGAUUGUAUGAACUGGUUCUUCAUUGAAAGCUAGCGGAGUAGUAAUCUUCAGUUGUGAACUAGUUUCUCCUGCAUUAUUUUCAAUAUACAGAAGCUUUAAACUAGUUGGUUAACAUUAGGUUUUGAAAUUCAACUGGAAAAUUUAGAUAGUUUGAGCUGGUUUUGAGACCAAAAAUUAAACUGUUAUUCUACAGUAAGUUUUAUUUAUAGCUUGGGCAGUGUUUUAACAACACAAAAAUUGAGGUUCACAGAAGAUCUAUAGCUUCUUCUUAAGUGAAAUCCCGCCAAGUCUUGCAUAAAUUUUAUAUAUUUUUGCUUUCUACAUUGGUGUGAUCAUCUCUAGCUUGCAUUCCUUUUAUAUUUAGUGACUACUAGUUGAAGAAGAUUUGCUUGCUUAUGCGUACAUCUACAAUGCUCAUAUAUUUCAUCUAUUGACAUAGUUAUUUUAUAAUUUCAGGUCAUACAGUCUGAUGAUCGAUAAUUUAGCUGGUCAAAAAUUUCAAUAUGAUGAAAAUUUGCAAAUAUUACUUGAAGAUUAUUAUUCGUUGGAAUUAGUCAUAUAAUGACAUUAGCUAUUUACUUCAAAUAGUAUAAGUUUUUUUGAGUUACUGUGGUAGUAAUAUUUUGGAUUAGUACUUUCUUUUGUUUGUUAAAAUUUAAUGAGAUACAUUAUGUUUUUAUGAAUUAAUAUUAGUAUGUUUUGUUAUUUGGAACCUUGUUUGAACGAAUGUAUUAGCUAUUAUUAAUGGUGG